RNAcentral lists this ribosomal RNA (955 nucleotides) under Amanita sp. Its description in RNAcentral is "partial large subunit ribosomal RNA". It matches the Rfam family "Eukaryotic large subunit ribosomal RNA", at positions 42 to 961 of the family's 3401-position model. Lineage: Eukaryota; Fungi; Basidiomycota; Agaricomycetes; Agaricales; Amanitaceae. The record is from RNAcentral.
AUCAAUAAGCGGAGGAAAAGAAACUAACAAGGAUUCCCCUAGUAACUGCGAGUGAAGCGGGAAAAGCUCAAAUUUGAAAUCUGGCAGUCUUUUUUUUCUUCUUUGGCUGUCCGAGUUGUAAUCUAGAGAAGUGCUUACCUGCACUGGACCAUGUAUAAGUCUCCUGGAAUGGAGCGUCGCAGAGGGUGAGAAUCCCGUCUUUGACAUGGACUGCCAGUGUGUUGUGGUGUGCUCUCAAAGAGUCGAGUUGUUUGGGAAUGCAGCUCUAAAUGGGUGGUAAACUCCAUCUAAAGCUAAAUAUUGGCGAGAGACCGAUAGUGAACAAGUACCGUGAGGGAAAGAUGAAAAGGACUUUGGAAAGAGAGUUAAACAGUAUGUGAAAUUGUUGAAAGGGAAACGCUUGAAGUCAGUUAUGUUGGCUAGGGAUCAACCUAGCUACUUUUGCUGGGUGAAUUUCCUAGUCUUACAGGCCAACAUCAGUCUUGACUGCUAGAAAAGAGCAGAGGGAAUGUGGCACCUUUGGGUGUGUUAUAGCCCUUUGUCAUAUGUGGCAGUUGGGACUGAGGGAUGCAGCAUGCCGCGAGGCUGGGUUUCUGACCACGUUCAUGCUUAGGAUGUUGGCUUUUAAUGGCUUCAAUCGACCCGUCUUGAAACACGGACCAAGGAGUCUAACAUGCCUGCGAGUGUUUGGGUGGGGAAAACCCUUGUGCACAAUGAAAGUGAAAGUUGAGAUCCCUGUCAUGGGGAGCAUCGACGCCCGGACUUGAGCUUUUAGCGACGGAUCCGCGGUAGAGCAUGCAUGUUGGGACCCGAAAGAUGGUGAACUAUGCCUGAAUAGGGCAAAGCCAGAGGAAACUCUGGUGGAGGCUCGUAGCGAUUCUGACGUGCAAAUCGAUCGUCAAAUUUGGGUAUAGGGGCGAAAGACUAAUCGAACCAUCUAGUAGCUGGUUCCUGC